GGCUCGGUAGUGCAAUGGAUCAGCACGGCAGACCGGAUAUCUGUAAUUGCGUGCUCGAGUCCCGCCUGAGGUU
This is a non-coding RNA of Dictyocaulus viviparus (bovine lungworm), 73 nucleotides long. NCBI's taxonomy places the organism in Eukaryota, Metazoa, Nematoda, Chromadorea, Rhabditida, Metastrongylidae. The record is from Rfam.